UCCCCAUCUCCUCCCUCGUUCUUUCUCCUUCCCGAUCAACCUGGCAAUGGCCAGAAUCCAGCAAAGGGUCACCAGAUUUAGACAAAAAUAAAGAAAAAGCAAAUGAGGAAGAACACUUACCAGGUGGUCGUUCUACCGUGCCGCUGGUCCUCGGUCGUAUUCGCUUUUGGGCCGGAGGCCCUUUCCUCCCCUCCCCUGUUUCUCAGUGGGGCGGGUUCAAGCCCUCCUCUCCCCGCCAAAGACAAGGAGGA
This 251-nucleotide long non-coding RNA is filed under the name Phoenix dactylifera (date palm). RNAcentral's name for it is "long non-coding RNA (PDAC_LNC015942)". The record is from RNAcentral. Lineage: Eukaryota; Viridiplantae; Streptophyta; Magnoliopsida; Arecales; Arecaceae.